RNAcentral lists this ribosomal RNA (225 nucleotides) under uncultured bacterium. RNAcentral's name for it is "partial 16S ribosomal RNA". It matches the Rfam family "Bacterial small subunit ribosomal RNA", at positions 1276 to 1500 of the family's 1533-position model. The record is from RNAcentral.
AAAAACUUAGUCUCAGUUCAGAUUGCAGGCUGAAACUCGCCUGCAUGAAGUCGGAAUUGCUAGUAAUCGCAGAUCAGCAUGCUGCGGUGAAUACGUUCCCGGGCCUUGUACACACCGCCCGUCACACCAUGGGAGUCGGUAACACCCGAAGUCGGUAGCCUAACCGUAAGGAGGGCGCCGCCGAAGGUGGGAUUGAUGACUGGGGUGAAGUCGUAACAAGGUACC